GGGGCCGUCGUCUAGCUUGGCAGGAUGCGGGGCUUGGGACCGCUCCUGGGAGAAGGCGUGGGUUCCCGAGCGGCAAGAGCCCCCGUGGUCCCGGGUUCAAAUCCCGGCGGCCCCACCA
RNAcentral lists this transfer RNA (118 nucleotides) under Pyrodictium delaneyi. RNAcentral's name for it is "tRNA-Pro". It matches the Rfam family "tRNA". From Rfam's summary of the family: Transfer RNA (tRNA) molecules are approximately 80 nucleotides in length. Their secondary structure includes four short double-helical elements and three loops (D, anti-codon, and T loops). Further hydrogen bonds mediate the characteristic L-shaped molecular structure. tRNAs have two regions of fundamental functional importance: the anti-codon, which is responsible for specific mRNA codon recognition, and the 3' end, to which the tRNAs corresponding amino acid is attached (by aminoacyl-tRNA synthetases). tRNAs cope with the degeneracy of the genetic code in two manners: having more than one tRNA (with a specific anti-codon) for a particular amino acid; and 'wobble' base-pairing, i.e. permitting non-standard base-pairing at the 3rd anti-codon position. The record is from RNAcentral. Lineage: Archaea; Thermoproteati; Thermoproteota; Thermoprotei; Desulfurococcales; Pyrodictiaceae.